Molecule: ribosomal RNA, 375 nt
Filed under: uncultured organism
Description: partial 16S ribosomal RNA
Rfam family: Bacterial small subunit ribosomal RNA
Source: RNAcentral
GUAGGUGGCAAGCGUUGUCCGGAAUUAUUGGGCGUAAAGCGCGCGCAGGCGGUUCUUUAAGUCUGAUGUGAAAGCCCACGGCUCAACCGUGGAGGGUCAUUGGAAACUGGAGAACUUGAGUACAGAAGAGGAAAGCGGAAUUCCACGUGUAGCGGUGAAAUGCGUAGAAAUGUGGAGGAACACCAGUGGCGAAGGCGGCUUUCUGGUCUGUAACUGACGCUGAGGCGCGAAAGCGUGGGGAGCAAACAGGGAUUAGAUACCCUGGUAGUCCACGCCGUAAACGAUGAGUGCUAAGUGUUAGGGGGGUUUCCCGCCCCCUUAGUGCUGCAGCUAACCGCAUUAAGCACUCCGCCUGGGGAGUACGCCGCAAGGCUG